Molecule: ribosomal RNA, 497 nt
Filed under: uncultured bacterium
Lineage: Bacteria
Description: partial 16S ribosomal RNA
Rfam family: Bacterial small subunit ribosomal RNA
Source: RNAcentral
GAUGAACGCUGGCGGCGUGCCUAAUACAUGCAAGUCGAGCGAACGGACGAGAAGCUUGCUUCUCUGAUGUUAGAGGCGGACGGGUGAGUAACACGUGGAUAACCUACCUAUAAGACUGGGAUAACUUCGGGAAACAGGAGCUAAUACCGGAUAAUAUUUUGAACCGCAUGGUUCAAAAGUGAAAGACGGUCUUGCUGUCACUUAUAGAUGUAUCCGCGCUGCAUUAGCUAGUUGGUAAGGUAACGGCUUACCAAGGCAACGAUGCAUAGCCGACCUGAGAGGGUGAUCGGCCACACUGGAACUGAGACACGGUCCAGACUCCUACGGGAGGCAGCAGUAGGGAAUCUUCCGCAAUGGGCGAAAGCCUGACGGAGCAACGCCGCGUGAGUGAUGAAGGUCUUCGGAUCGUAAAACUCUGUUAUUAGGGAAGAACAUAUGUGUAAGUAACUGUGCACAUCUUGACGGUACCUAAUCAGAAAGCCACGGCUAACUACGUG